CCGAACGGGUGGAGUAACACGUAUGCAACCUGCCUGCCACAGCCGGAUAAUCGGGAGAAAUUCCGUCUAAUACGGCAUAAUGCAUCGACGGGACAUCCUGUUGGUGCCAAAGGUUAAUUCCGGUGGCGGAUGGGCAUGCGUCGCAUUAGUUAGUUGGCGGUGUAACGGACCACCAAGACGACGAUGCGUAGGGGUUCUGAGAGGAAGGUCCCCCACACUGGUACUGAGACACGGACCAGACUCCUACGGGAGGCAGCAG
Molecule: ribosomal RNA, 259 nt
Filed under: uncultured bacterium
Lineage: Bacteria
Description: partial 16S ribosomal RNA
Rfam family: Bacterial small subunit ribosomal RNA
Source: RNAcentral